This 983-nucleotide ribosomal RNA is filed under the name Treponema socranskii. RNAcentral's name for it is "bacterial SSU rRNA". It matches the Rfam family "Bacterial small subunit ribosomal RNA", at positions 28 to 1005 of the family's 1533-position model. The record is from RNAcentral. Lineage: Bacteria; Pseudomonadati; Spirochaetota; Spirochaetia; Treponematales; Treponemataceae.
AACGAACGCUGGCGGCGCGUCUUAACCAUGCAAGUCGAGCGGCAGGCAGCAAUGCCGAGAGCGGCGAACUGGUGAGUAACACGUGGAUAACGUACCCCGAUGUCUGGGACAGCCUGUAGAAAUAGAGGGUAAUACCGGAUAGAUCACUGUUUACGUGAGGUAGACGGCGGGAAAGGAGCUUCGGCUCCGCGUCGGGAACGGUCUGCGGCCCAUCAGCUAGACGGCGGGGUAAGUGCCCGCCGUGGCGAGGACGGGUAUCCGGCCUGAGAGGGCGGACGGACACAUUGGGACUGAGGUACGGCCCACGACUCCUACGGGAGGCAGCAGGUAAGAAUAUUCCGCAAUGGGGGGAACCCUGACGGAGCGACGCCGCGUGAACGAAGAAGGCCGGAAGGUUGUAAAGUUCUUUUCUGUUCGAGGAAUAAGUUUCGGAGGAAAUGCCGGGACGGUGACGGUAGGGCAGGAAUAAGCACCGGCUAAUUACGUGCCAGCAGCCGCGGUAACACGUAAGGUGCGAGCGUUGUUCGGAAUUAUUGGGCGUAAAGGGCAUGCAGGCGGGUCGCCAAGCUUGGUAAGAAAUACCGGGGCUCAACUCCGGAGCUAUAUUGAGAACUGGCGAGCUAGAGUUGCCGAAGGGUAUCCGGAAUUCCGCGUGAAGGGGUGAAAUCUGUAGAUAUGCGGAAGAACACCGAUGGCGAAGGCAGGAUACCGGCGGACGACUGACGCUGAGGUGCGAAGGUGCGGGGAGCAAACAGGAUUAGAUACCCUGGUAGUCCGCACAGUCAACGAUGUACACUGGGCGUGUGCGCAAGAGCGUGCGUGCCGAAGCAAACGCGAUAAGUGUACCGCCUGGGGAGUAUGCCCGCAAGGGUGAAACUCAAAGGAAUUGACGGGGGCCCGCACAAGCGGUGGAGCAUGUGGUUUAAUUCGAUGGUACGCGAGGAACCUUACCUGGGUUUGACAUCAAGAGCGAUACUAUAGAG